Long non-coding RNA from Vespa mandarinia (Asian giant hornet), 1014 nucleotides. NCBI's taxonomy places the organism in Eukaryota, Metazoa, Arthropoda, Insecta, Hymenoptera, Vespidae. The record is from RefSeq and is a predicted model, not a curated record.
AAAGUUUAGUGAGAAAAAGGAUGAAAUAAAAAGAAAGAAAGAAAGAUAGAAAGUGAGAGAGAAAGAAUGAGAGAGAGAGAGAGAAAGAGAAGAGAAGUUGUCCCACGGGCGGGGCUCGUAGUGCGAGCGAGAUAGAAGCAAAAAGAGAGGAAGGAGUAUCGGCUGGCGGGGAAGGGGGAGCUUGAAUCCCGCAGCGUAAAACUAAGCAUGCCACUCGUGGCGUCUCAGUCGCAGGAUCGCACGCGCACCGUCAACGCAGUGGCGUCUGAUUCUCCUUCCUAUUUUACCGGUCAUCACACGUAACUAACACACGUCAAGAUUUACACGCAUCAUUCUAUGUAUAUAUAGUACCUUUCUUCUCGGGUGUGUAAGAGAGAAAGAGAGAGAGAGAGAGAGAGAGAGAGAAAAGUAUUGGAAAAGGAAAGAAAAGGAUUGUAUAUACAUACAUGCACACAAACGUAUAUAUGUACAUACGUGUAUGUAUAUAUGUGCAUGGCUUUACUACGCGCGUGUUACUUCUGGACAGACUACGAGGUGUUUGAGGUUAGGAACAGUCGUAUUCGUCAUUUGCUCUCCGUCUACUAGUAUUAUCAGUCGAUUUAAUCUGUGUGCAGCGGCAAUAACAACAGUAACAGCAGCAAGGUGGUGUUCUUUCAGACUGGUUGAGAACUAUAUAUAUAUAUAUAUAUGUAUAUAUAUUUGUAGGCUCCUGUGCAUAUACAAACACGCACACAGCACAUACGUAUAUAUAUAUAUAUGACGAAGAAAAAAGGAAGAGAGAGAAAAAAGAGGGUAGAUAGUAGACGUCGCUUGAAUCACCGAAGCACUGCCUGGUGAGAUGAAGACGAGCGAAAAGAGCUGAACGUCGAAGAGUAAAGAGUAAGAAGGAUAGAGGAAAGCGAGAGGGGUACACGACCGUCGGUUAUGUUCAACUGUAAAGAAGAAGAGAAGAGGCAAGGCUAAUGGCUCUUAGGAUAGAAGGAAAAGAACACUGAACGGGUCAUACCAAUGACG